AUUGCACUCGGACUCACGCUUGUGCGUGGCCUGAAGGCCCGUGCAGGGGAUCUGCAUUGGCCUUUGCUGGGGUCUUCCCUUUCUGCUGCUUUGACCCAGUUGCUCAGUUUGUUUUCCCUAAAAGCGCUCUGCAGGGGCGGUGGUCCCCUCAGCCUUUCCUUGCAGCUGGAGCCCAACUCCCACCUUCCCCAGCCCUGGGAAGGGCCGAGUCCCUCAGGCCUUGGCUGCAAUGUCCCCUAACUGCUCCAUAGCACGGGCUGCUGCAGCCACACCCAGGCCCGUGGCUCAGGGGUCUCUGGGUCCGUGCUGGAGAAACUGGAGCUGGCAACAGAGCAGAGGCAGCUGUGGUGGAAAAGCAGCACUGGGGCCGGGACUCAGGAGCCUGGCGACCCUGUUUCACUCCGUUCCCAGCUGCCCUGGCCUCGGCACGCAUUUCCAUGCAGAUGUGGUCCGCGGAUGUGGUCCCGACAGCUGCUGGCCUCCAGCCCUGCCGCUGGCAUGUCACACCCGACCGGUGACGCCUUGAACAUGCAGCUCUCUGCCGAGCAGAGUGCAAUGGGUUAAGGCUCUUGCUUGCUGUAGCUGUAAAUCUGAGUUCCCAGCCCCUGGUCUGGGCCAGGCCUUACUAUAAACACAUGCGCAGGAGGGAGCUGGCUGAGUGCUCAUUCUUAACGUGACCUUGCAGAGCUGUCAGAUACCAGCUUCCUCCCCCUUGCCUUUCCCAGCCCUGACAUUGGACCCAGGGCCCUGCAGGCAGGGAAGCUGGGGAGGGACCUGGUGUGCGGCACAGGUUGCCAAAAUCAAAGCAAGCAAGAAAACCACUUAGCACUUAAUAAGUCACAAGGAGAAAACCCUCCCAACACGAUGAGGCGGCGGUGAGCCCAGCCCCCAGGUUCAGCGCGAUGCUGUUGCCAUCAGUACUGCACCAGGGUAAUUAAGGUAGUGCCUAAAGGUGGAGACUUUGGGUGCUAACGAGUACCUCUUUGGCCACUGCAGAAAUGAUUCCUGCCCCACUGGUACUUGCUGUCCUUUACCUUUGAAGUCGCCUCCUCGAACAAGUGGACAGGAGACGUUACCAGCUCAACAUCUGUGGCCACAGGCACCAAAUUCACCCGACUGAGCUGGGACUGACCAGCCCCGCGAUGGGCUACGGGAGAAACCAGGCCCACGUCUGGGUGCUUCUCCGGCCGAAGAGGGUGUGAGCAGCUGGGUCCAUCUCACCUUGACCGACGCUGGUCACAGGGAGAAGAGGGGACUAAGAGCAGACCACCGGUCCAGCGGGAACAGACGACUCAGACCUGCGGCCUUCCCCGGUACCGGGCUGCAGCUGGGUAAAAGUGUUUUUCAGUGCAGCUGCUCCAGCAGUGGGGAAGAGGGACGCGCAGGAACUUACUUGAACGGGAUUUAGUUCCCAGUUGUACAAAACUCCACAUGGCUGAAGGAUUGAUUUCUGCAUAAGCUUUCCAGAAGCGCUCAUCACUGACAAGACCAAACAUGGACUAUGUCAACCUCUACGGUGAUUUUUUUUUUCUGUUCCUCAGAAACUGUUUCACUUAUAAACCCAUGUUUUCUACUCAGUUUUUUUCAACCUUGUUUAAAAAACAGUCAUCCCAAAUACUUGUUAAAUAAGAGAGGUAAAAGCUAAAGGGUACGUGCUGGGGUUUUCAGGCGAAAUCUGAAGGAAGGGAGGAGCGCUGUCUGCUGGGGGAGACUCUAAAUCAAGGUCCUGAUCUGCUGCUGCCGCCGCCCCAAGACGUGCAGACAUGGUCAUGGUGCCCGAGCU
Molecule: long non-coding RNA, 1783 nt
Organism: Alligator mississippiensis (American alligator)
Lineage: Eukaryota; Metazoa; Chordata; Crocodylia; Alligatoridae
Exons: 4
Source: RefSeq, a predicted model, not a curated record